GGGCUCACACAAGCGGUGGAGCAUGUGGUUCAAUUCGAAGCAACGCGAAGAACCUUACCUGGCCUUGACUUGCACGGAUUAGCUCUGUGAAAGCAGAGUAACAGCUCUUCGGAGUCGGAACGUGCGCAGGUGUUGCAUGGCUGUCGUCAGCUCGUGUCGUGAGAUGUUGGGUUAAGUCCCGUAACGAGCGCAACCCCUAUUCUUAGUUGCCAGCGGGUAAUCCGGGGACUCUAGGGAGACCGCCGGUGUUAAACCGGGAGGAAGGUGGGGACGACGUCAAGUCAUCAUGGCCUUUAUGCCCAGGGCUGCACACGUGCUACAAUGGGACGUACAAAGGGAAGCGAACCCCGCGAGGGCAAGCA
This 362-nucleotide ribosomal RNA is filed under the name uncultured bacterium. RNAcentral describes it as "bacterial SSU rRNA". It matches the Rfam family "Bacterial small subunit ribosomal RNA", at positions 917 to 1269 of the family's 1533-position model. The record is from RNAcentral.